UGAACGCUGGCGGCGUGCCUAAGACAUGCAAGUCGAGUGGGUUAGGCCCACGGCGAACGGGUGAGUAAUACCUAGGAACUUUUUUCCAAGUCGAGGAUAUCCUUCCGAAAGGAAGUGCAAUACUUGAUGUGACCGCAAGGUUAAAGUCGCAAGACGCUUGGAGCAAGGCCUGGGCACCAUCAGCUAGUUGGCGAGGGUAAUGGCUCACCCAAGGCUAUGACGGUUAGCGGAUCUGAGAGGAUGACCCGCCACACUGGGACUGCGACACGGCCCAGACUCCUACGGGAGGCAGCAGUUUGGAAUUUUGGUCAAUGGGGGAAACCCUAGAACCAGCGACGCCGCGUGGACGAAGACGGCCUUCGGGUUGUAAAGUCCUUUUGGCAGGGAACAAUUUUGAGUGUACCUGCAGAAUAAGAGGUUGCUAACUCUGUGCCAGCAGCCGC
Molecule: ribosomal RNA, 443 nt
Filed under: uncultured bacterium
Lineage: Bacteria
Description: bacterial SSU rRNA
Rfam family: Bacterial small subunit ribosomal RNA
Source: RNAcentral